This 499-nucleotide ribosomal RNA is filed under the name uncultured bacterium. RNAcentral describes it as "bacterial SSU rRNA". It matches the Rfam family "Bacterial small subunit ribosomal RNA", at positions 16 to 507 of the family's 1533-position model. The record is from RNAcentral.
AUCCUGGCUCAGGAUGAACGCUAGCGGCAGGGCUUAAUACAUGCAAGUCGUGGGGCAAGCAUGAGUAGCAAUACUUGAUGGCGACCGGCAAACGGGUGAGGAACACGUACACAACCUUCCUUCAAGCGGGGAAUAGCCCAGAGAAAUUUGGAUUAAUACCCCAUAAUAUAUUUGAUAAGGCAUCUUAUUAAUAUUAAAGCUUCGGCACUUGAUGAUGGGUGUGCGGCUGAUUAGAUAGUUGGCGGGGUAACGGCCCACCAAGUCUACGAUCAGUAGCUGAUGUGAGAGCAUGAUCAGCCACACGGGCACUGAGACACGGGCCCGACUCCUACGGGAGGCAGCAGUAAGGAAUAUUGGACAAUGGACGAAAGUCUGAUCCAGCCAUGCCGCGUGAAGGAUUAAGGUCCUCUGGAUUGUAAACUUCUUUUAUAUGGGACGAAAAAAGGGCAUUCUUGUUCACUUGACGGUACCAUAUGAAUAAGCACCGGCUAACUCCGUG